GCCUGGUUAGCUCAAUCGGUAGAGCGUUUGACUCUUAAUAUCAAAAGGUUGCGGGUUCGACCCCCGCAUCGGGCU
Dujonia railenensis is the source of this 75-nucleotide non-coding RNA. The record is from the annotation of a GenBank genome assembly. NCBI's taxonomy places the organism in Eukaryota, Fungi, Ascomycota, Pichiomycetes, Serinales, Debaryomycetaceae.